UCCCAAUGAAGCAACAUUCAUGUCUUACUUCCUGUCCUAGUCCCAGAGUCUGUAAAUUACGGUAAAUACACUGCAGUUGGCUGUGGAAGAAAAGCAAAGUUUGUUCCAGAAGGAACUGUCUGAGGAAU
Sciurus carolinensis (gray squirrel) is the source of this 128-nucleotide small nucleolar RNA. RefSeq annotates it as small nucleolar RNA SNORD22. The transcript has a single exon. The record is from RefSeq and is a predicted model, not a curated record. NCBI's taxonomy places the organism in Eukaryota, Metazoa, Chordata, Mammalia, Rodentia, Sciuridae.